AUCAAGAUGAUGCUGGAUUCUGGGCAGGCAGAUCAGGAUGGCUCAGUGUGGAAAGGGGUGGAUGAAGGGCAGUAUGAGAGAGCACACCUGAGUUUCCUGGGUACUCACUCCUGGUCUCUGUUCAUGAAAUUAGGCAAACAGGCAUCAGAAGGAAAAGCUUCUCCAAGCAGUGCACAUCUGCUGUGGAAGCCUUUGCACCAGUGUCAAAAGUCUUUAAGUGUUAGAAACGUGCUUUAAUUCAGAGAAGAAAAAUCAGAGAGGAGAGCUUAGGAAGCCCAGAGGAGCAAGAUGUGAUUUCUGUGAGGUCCCUGGGCAUUGAAUUGUUGGAGGUUAGGAAAGGAUUUCUAAGAAGCACUCCCACAAUCUUUGUCUGCUCAUUAAGUCUUUUCUCUCGGCCACAUUUGGAGACAAAGUGCUGGGUUAACUGGGCCUCUCACCUGCCACAGCUGAGCCUGUGUUGUGUUAGAUUCCCUUCAGUCCUGUAACAACCACUGCCUGCAUGAAGAGGUAACACUGAAAUAAUUUGACAUAGCAGACAUUUUUAAGCUGAAGUUUAGCAGCUGUAAUCAUGGGGCACUGGUACCCUGGGAUUGACUGUCUGGUGUUCUUCAUGCAGCAGUGAUCACAGAAUUAUCUGCAAAAAUCUGUUGUGAGAGAAACAUCCAGAUGUAGGAGCAGAGCUUGGAAAAUGAGACACAGAGAUCUUCAAUUUCAGUCCCCUAAUAUUCUAAGGACUAUGUCACAUAAUCCCUUUUAUAAACUGUUCAGGCUUCAUUAUGAUUAAAUUUAUUGGCCUCCAUUUUUCCUGGAAAGCUGUUCCAGAGCUUCACUGCUCUGCUGAUUAGAAACCUUUUAAUUUCCAAGUGAAAUUUAAUAUGACAAGUUUAUACUGUUCUGGAGAAGUGUUACAGUUCCUCUCCACACACACAUCACAGAGCAAAUAGCAACAAGGGAAAAAAGCAAUUCAAGUUAAAAACAGUAAUAGCACCAAAGCAUUGCUGGCUGAGAGGUUUCCUCCAAUUUUAGAUGCAGAUCCCACUGCAACCUUUAAUUCUUUCGUAAUAAGCUACUUACUGAGGGAACUCAGUCUGUUCAGAUCAGCUCUGGUUUAUAUCUACAAAUGCAUAAUAACCUCUGUCCCACUAAUGAAUCACUGGGGCUGUCAUAACUUUAAUGAACACAUUUCUUUCUGGAGGUGUUGAUCACCUAAAAGCGCUCGCUGGUUUUUCCUGUCUUGAAUGAUUGUAUUGAAUGUGGUAAGUGCAAUCACAUCUCCAGAGAGUUUAUCUGCAGAGGCUGCACCAGAGAGAGAGCACUGGAGCUGGAAAGGAGGAGAUUUCUGUUCACAGCUCUCUCACAUGCACCAGGUGUGACCCUGCAGAGCUUUGGUGCUGAGGGGUCCCCCAAGUUGGGCUGGAGCAGCUCCCCAGCAAAUGGUGGGGUCACCAUCCCUGGAGGAAUUUAAGGCAUGAAGUUGUGGUUCUUAAAAGCCUGGUUUAGUGCUGGGCACUGCUGGGUUUAAGGUUGGAUGUGAUGAUCUCAAAGGUCUCUUCUGACUGAACUGAUUUUGUGGUUCUGAGGUUUGGUUUUUCAGCCACAGAUCCACAGCUUCUAUUUUGUCUCUAACUCAGGUCAGCCACAUUUCAUGGGACAAGAAUUGUUCCUUCCACACCAGUAGAGUGUUCGACUUGGCCAAAACCUCUGAUCACUACAAAAACAUUAAUGGCUGCUCCUGAACAUCAGGAAUUACCCCAGCAGGACAUCCCAGAGAGGAGCAGUCCUGAUGGUGCACACAGGUGUUCCAAGGCUGGGAAGCUCAAAUCCAUCAGAAAAAUAGUGGCAAAGACCAAGAACUGAAGAAAAGCAAUUUCUGACCUAAUUCAGGCAUCUUGAGAAGACUUUACCAGUAACCAGAGAUUUAUCUAUCUCCAUAAAAUCCCCUCUAGACAUUUGUGAGCUG
Zonotrichia albicollis (white-throated sparrow) is the source of this 1960-nucleotide non-coding RNA. Lineage: Eukaryota; Metazoa; Chordata; Aves; Passeriformes; Passerellidae. The record is from RefSeq and is a predicted model, not a curated record.